Molecule: ribosomal RNA, 628 nt
Filed under: uncultured euryarchaeote
Lineage: Archaea; Methanobacteriati; Methanobacteriota
Description: bacterial SSU rRNA
Rfam family: Archaeal small subunit ribosomal RNA
Source: RNAcentral
CGGCUCAGUAACACGUGGAUAACCUACCCUCAGAUCUGGGAUAACUCCGGGAAACUGGAGAUAAUACCGGAUAAUCCGUGAACGCUGGAAUGCCUUACGGUUGAAAGCUUUAGCGUCUGAGGAUGGGUCUGCGGCCGAUUAGGUAGUUGCUGGGGUAACGUCCCAACAAGCCGAUAAUCGGUACGGGUUGUGAGAGCAAGAGCCCGGAGAUGGAUUCUGAGACACGAAUCCAGGUCCUACGGGGCGCAGCAGGCGCGAAAACUUUACACUGCGCGAAAGCGCGAUAAGGGGACCUCGAGUGCGUGCGCAAAGCGUACGCUUUUCAGAUGCCUAAAAAGCAUCUGGAAUAAGGGCCGGGCAAGACCGGUGCCAGCCGCCGCGGUAACACCGGCGGCUCAAGUGGUGGCCGCUAUUAUUGGGCUUAAAGGGUCCGUAGCCGGACCAGUUAGUCCCUUGGGAAAUCUUACGGCUUAACCGUAAGGCUGCCAAUGGAUACUGCUGGUCUUGGGACCGGGAGAGGCAAGAGGUACCUCAGGGGCAGGAGUGAAAUCCUGUAAUCCUUGAGGGACCGCCAGUGGCGAAGGCGUCUUGCUAGAACGGGUCCGACGGUGAGGGACGAAAGCUAGGG